RNAcentral lists this ribosomal RNA (490 nucleotides) under uncultured bacterium. RNAcentral's name for it is "partial 16S ribosomal RNA". It matches the Rfam family "Bacterial small subunit ribosomal RNA", at positions 30 to 507 of the family's 1533-position model. The record is from RNAcentral.
AUUGAACGCUGGCGGCAGGCUUAACACAUGCAAGUCGAGCGGUAGCACAGGGGAGCUUGCUCCCUGGGUGACGAGCGGCGGACGGGUGAGUAAUGUCUGGGAAACUGCCUGAUGGAGGGGGAUAACUACUGGAAACGGUAGCUAAUACCGCAUAACGUCGCAAGACCAAAGAGGGGGACCUUCGGGCCUCUUGCCAUCAGAUGUGCCCAGAUGGGAUUAGCUAGUAGGUGGGGUAAUGGCUCACCUAGGCGACGAUCCCUAGCUGGUCUGAGAGGAUGACCAGCCACACUGGAACUGAGACACGGUCCAGACUCCUACGGGAGGCAGCAGUGGGGAAUAUUGCACAAAGGGCGCAAGCCUGAUGCAGCCAUGCCGCGUGUGUGAAGAAGGCCUUCGGGUUGUAAAGCACUUUCAGCGGGGAGGAAGGUGGUGAGCUUAAUACGUUCAUCAAUUGACGUUACUCGCAGAAGAAGCACCGGCUAACUCCGUG